GCCAUGCAUGUCUCAGUGCAGCCGUACGCGUUCGCGCGUCUAGGUGAAACCGCGAAAGGCUCAUUAAAUCAGUUAUGGUUCCUUGGAUCGUACCAAUCAGUUACUUGGAUAACUGUGGUAAUUCUAGAGCUAAUACAUGCCGACAGAGUUCCGACCGCCUCGUGCGGGAGGAACGCUUUUAUUAGAUCAAAACCCAUCGGUACGCGGCUUCGGCCCGUACCGACAACACUCGGUCCGUUCGCGGGCCGACCAAGUGGUGACUCUGAAUAACUUUGUGCUGAUCGCACGGUCUCAGUGCUGGCGAUGCAUCUUUCAAAUGUCUGCCUUAUCAACUGUCGAUGGUAGGUUAUGCGCCUACCAUGGUGGUAACGGGUGACGGGGGAUUAGGGUUCGAUCCCGGAGAGGGAGCCUGAGAAACGGCUACCACAUCCAAGGAAGGCAGCAGGCACGCAAAUUACCCACUCCCAGCUCAGGGGAGGUAGUGACGAAAUAUAACGAUACGGGACUCAUCCGAGGCCUCGUAAUCGGAAUGAGUACACUUUAAAACGUUUAACGAGGAUCCAUUGGAGGGCA
This 573-nucleotide ribosomal RNA is filed under the name Powellia sp. Brenda May FM-2017. RNAcentral describes it as "SSU rRNA". It matches the Rfam family "Eukaryotic small subunit ribosomal RNA", at positions 48 to 557 of the family's 1831-position model. The record is from RNAcentral. Lineage: Eukaryota; Metazoa; Arthropoda; Insecta; Hemiptera; Triozidae. RNAcentral also lists the same sequence under 6 other names.